Molecule: ribosomal RNA, 253 nt
Filed under: uncultured bacterium
Lineage: Bacteria
Description: partial 16S ribosomal RNA
Rfam family: Bacterial small subunit ribosomal RNA
Source: RNAcentral
UACGUAGGCAGCAAGCGUUGUUCGGAGUUACUGGGCGUAAAGGGCGCGCAGGCGGCAGAUCAAGUCAGACGUGAAAGCCCCGGGCUUAACCUGGGAACUGCGUUUGGGACUGGUUUGCUAGAGAUCGGGAGAGGAGAGUGGAAUUCCCAGUGUAGAGGUGAAAUUCGUAGAUAUUGGGAAGAACACCGGUGGCGAAGGCGGCUCUCUGGACCGAUACUGACGCUGAGGCGCGAAAGCGUGGGGAGCAAACAGG